AGAAAGUUAGUUUGACCAAAACAGUUGAUUUCGACUCAACAGACCAUAGCCUAAGCCUAUGACUUUCUC
RNAcentral lists this transfer RNA (69 nucleotides) under Hydrobates castro. Its description in RNAcentral is "tRNA-Arg". Lineage: Eukaryota; Metazoa; Chordata; Aves; Procellariiformes. The record is from RNAcentral.